Molecule: ribosomal RNA, 441 nt
Filed under: uncultured bacterium
Lineage: Bacteria
Description: bacterial SSU rRNA
Rfam family: Bacterial small subunit ribosomal RNA
Source: RNAcentral
ACGAACGCUGGCGGCAGGCCUAACACAUGCAAGUCGAACGUGAAGCCACCUUCGGGUGGUGGAAAGUGGCAGACGGGUGAGUAACGCGUGGGAAUCUACCCAAUGGUACGGAAUAACUCAGGGAAACUUGAGCUAAUACCGUAUGUGCCCGAAAGGGGAAAGAUUUAUCGCCAUUGGAUGAGCCCGCGUCGGAUUAGCUAGUUGGUGGGGUAACGGCCCACCAAGGCGACGAUCCGUAGCUGGUCUGAGAGGAUGAUCAGCCACACUGGGACUGAGACACGGCCCAGACUCCUACGGGAGGCAGCAGUGGGGAAUAUUGGACAAUGGGCGCAAGCCUGAUCCAGCCAUGCCGCGUGAGUGAUGAAGGCCCUAGGGUUGUAAAGCUCUUUCGACGGGGACGAUAAUGACGGUACCCGUAGAAGAAGCCCCGGCUAACUUCGU